GAUGAACGCUGGCGGCGUGCCUAAUACAUGCAAGUCGAGCGAACGGACGAGAAGCUUGCUUCUCUGAUGUUAGCGGCGGACGGGUGAGUAACACGUGGAUAACCUACCUAUAAGACUGGGAUAACUUCGGGAAACCGGAGCUAAUACCGGAUAAUAUUUUGAACCGCAUGGUUCAAAAGUGAAAGACGGUCUUGCUGUCACUUAUAGAUGGAUCCGCGCUGCAUUAGCUAGUUGGUAAGGUAACGGCUUACCAAGGCAACGAUGCAUAGCCGACCUGAGAGGCUGAUCGGCCACACUGGAACUGAGACACGGUCCAGACUCUUACGGGAGGCAGCAGUAGGGAAUCUUCCGCAAUGGGCGAAAGCCUGACGGAGCAACGCCGCGUGAGUGAUGAAGGUCUUCGGAUCGUAAAACUCUGUUAUUAGGGAAGAACAUAUGUGUAAGUAACUGUGCACAUCUUGACGGUACCUAAUCAGAAAGCCACGGCUAACUACGUG
Molecule: ribosomal RNA, 497 nt
Filed under: uncultured bacterium
Lineage: Bacteria
Description: partial 16S ribosomal RNA
Rfam family: Bacterial small subunit ribosomal RNA
Source: RNAcentral